CCUACGGGAGGCAGCAGUGGGGAAUCUUGCGCAAUGGGCGAAAGCCUGACGCAGCAACGCCGCGUGCGGGAAGAAGGCUUUCGGGCUGUAAACCGCUUUCAGCAGGAACGAAAAUGACGGUACCUGCAGAAGAAGGAGCGGCCAACUAUGUGCCAGCAGCCGCGGUGAUACAUAGGCUUCAAGCGUUGUCCGGAUUUAUUGGGCGUAAAGAGUUCGUAGGCGGUCGAGUAAGUCGGGUGUGAAAAUUCUGGGCUCAACCCAGAGACGCCACCCGAUACUGCUUGACUUGAGUUCGAUAGGGGAGUGGGGAAUUCCUAGUGUAGCGGUGAAAUGCGCAGAUAUUAGGAGGAACACCGGUGGCGAAGGCGCCACUCUGGAUCGAUACUGACGCUGAGGAACGAAAGCAUGGGUAGCAAACAGGAUUAGAUACCCUGGUAGUCCAUGCCGUAAACGGUGGGCACUAGGUGUGGGUUUCUAUUAACGAAAUCCGCGCCGUCGCUAACGCAUUAAGUGCCCCGCCUGGGGAGUACGGUCGCAAGCUAAAACUCAAAUGAAUUGACGGCUGAGAGNGCGACGACGACGACGAGGAGGAG
Molecule: ribosomal RNA, 593 nt
Filed under: uncultured bacterium
Lineage: Bacteria
Description: bacterial SSU rRNA
Rfam family: Bacterial small subunit ribosomal RNA
Source: RNAcentral